GAUGAAGAACGUAGCGAAAUGCGAUAAGUAGUGUGAAUUGCAGAAUUCAGUGAAUCAUCGAAUCUUUGAACGCACAUUGCGCCCCUUGGUAUUCCAUGGGGCAUGCCUGUUCGAGCGUCAUUUGUACCUUCAAGCUUUGCUUGGUGUUGGGUGUUUGUCCUGAGGGACUCGCCUUAAAGUAAUUGGCAGCCAGUGUUUGGUUUUGAAGCGCAGCACAAGUCGCGAUUCAAGGCUAUACACCAACUUCCACAAGCCUUUUUCACUUUUGACCUCGGAUCAGGUAGGGAUACCCGCUGAACUUAAGCAUAUCAAUAAGCGGAGGA
RNAcentral lists this unclassified non-coding RNA (323 nucleotides) under soil metagenome. RNAcentral's name for it is "partial contains 5.8S ribosomal RNA, internal transcribed spacer 2, and large subunit ribosomal RNA". The stretch from base 1 to 120 matches the Rfam family "5.8S ribosomal RNA", at positions 35 to 154 of the family's 154-position model. The record is from RNAcentral.